GAUGAACGCUGGCGGCGUGCCUAAUACAUGCCAGUCGAGCGAACGGACGAGAAGCUUGCUUCUCUGAUGUUAGCGGCGGACGGGUGAGUAACACGUGGAUAACCUACCUAUAAGACUGGGAUAACUUCGGGAAACCGGAGCUAAUACCGGAUAAGAGUUUGAACCGCAUGGUUCAAAAGUGAAAGACGGUCUUGCUGUCACUUAUAGAUGGAUCCGCGCUGCAUUAGCUAGUUGGUAAGGUAACGGCUUACCAAGGCAACGAUGCAUAGCCGACCUGAGAGGGUGAUCGGCCACACUGGAACUGAGACACGGUCCAGACUCCUACGGGAGGCAGCAGUAGGGAAUAUUCGGCAAUGGGCGAAAGCCUGACGGAGCAACGCCGCGUGAGUGAUGAAGGUCUUCGGAUCGUAAAACUCUGUUAUUAGGGAAGAACAUAUGUGUAAGUAAAUGUGCAUAUCUUGACGGUACCUACACAGAAAGCCACGGCUAACUACGUG
RNAcentral lists this ribosomal RNA (497 nucleotides) under uncultured bacterium. RNAcentral's name for it is "partial 16S ribosomal RNA". It matches the Rfam family "Bacterial small subunit ribosomal RNA", at positions 28 to 507 of the family's 1533-position model. The record is from RNAcentral.